GGCUCAGUGCAGCAAACACUGAGAACACACACUGUCACUCAGAACACACUGAGAGUACAAACACCAACACACAAAAUACUCACUGUUCAUCUUUACACUUUGAACCACUUCAGUGACGUCAUACAAAGUAAGAUUUUCUUCAACAAAAAGAGUGACAUUCUUUCACAUGAUUUAUUACAUUUUUUAGAACAUAACAAUUCUUUAAGGUAAAUGAAUAAUAGCAGUUGGAUUCAAUAGUCUGUAGUAAUUUAUGGAAUUACAGUAAUGAGAAAAAAAGGUAGAAAGUAAAAGUACAGACUGUAAUGUGAACAAAUAAGUGAGGGCUGAUCCUGCCUCUCUAGCAUCAGGACACAGGUUCUCAUCACCAUCACAUCUAAUGUUCUCUCUCCAUCAACCUGGGGAAGAACCUUCUGGAAGCCUCAUCCAUCCCUAGCAGUCCUCUGGACUCGUGUCCUCACAUCCGGCUUCCAUAAGAGACAUCUGGUCAUUUGGGUGGAGACCAAACACUUUGCACCUCCAGGCAGAGAGAAACUCCUCUCACCGGUUUGUAUGAUGGAGAAGUUGCAUCACAGACGCCACUGUGGAUGUUUGCAGAUCGGGUUCCACCCUCAACUCUCUCAGUGAGAGACGUGGUUCACCACAUGGUCCAUAAGUGAAGCCCUUAUUCCAUCUGAAGUAACAGCUCUUUGUCUUCUUUGUCUCCCUCCACCAACCCGUCUUCCUUCUUCCACUUACAAAAUGAGUCUUUCUCAGCUCUACAUAUAUAUAUAUAUAUAUAUAUAUAUAUAUAUAUAUCUAAAACAAGACACCUGCUCAGCCUUUCAGCUGAAUAGAAUCAUCAGUGUUUUAAAGGCACAUUCCGUGUUGAAUGCAUGGUUCACAGUUCUGACAGCAGUGUGUUGCAUUUGAACAAAGUGCUGUAAAUCCACAGUGUUGUGCAGGUUGUGGAUACGUCAUGUGAUCAGUGUGUAGAGUUUUGAAAACUGUUCAAGCAAUGAAAAACAAACUAGAGUUUGGUCCUCAUGAACUGCUGCUGUGCAGACUGGAGUCAGAGUUUUGCACAUGUGACUCCAGUUGCGCCCGCUGACGUUUAGCAAUCGACAAAAACUGUAAUGUGGCCGAGAUUAAUGCAACAAAAUAUUUUAACGCAGUUACAGUUUUUUUCAAUCGCUAACAAGCACUUACCCAUACUUUUUUAUUUACAAAUUUUUUCUAAACUCUUAACACAGACUCACACCUACAAGACACAAUUGGCCAAAUUGAUCAUUUUCUUCUCAAAAACACAUUUUGUUAAAUAUAUACUAACUCUUAAUUUCAAAACAGAACACAUCUUUCUCUGCACACACUAACUUUACCAAAACACUGGAAAUCUGACUCAAAAUUAUUCUGUCAAAGAAUAACAUUUGUUUUCACUUCACAAGGUACAUGCAGUCAAACGAAGUACACCAGGUUUCAAAAUUCAUGUCGGAUCCACCCUUGGCAAUCUUGAACUGUGAUGUCCCUGCAGCCAGCAUCCAUGGCUUCAAGGAGGGACAUCUGGUCAUGUGGCGGAUGGUCAUAAACCUUCCACCUCCAUGCGGAAAAGAACUCCUCUUCCUGCACCUCUCACUGCACCUUCUUCUAGAUCUCUCACUGGACCUGCACCUCUUACUCUUCCUCUCACUGCUCCUCUUCCUGCACCUGCAGCUCCUUCUGCACCUGCAUCUCCUUCACCUGCACCUCUCACUGGACCUGGUCUUCUCCCUGGGCCCCUUGCUCUUCCUCUUCCUCGUCCAGACAUUACAGUGUUUGUCUUUUUCUGUUUCCAAAAACAUCACUCCUCAAAGUCCUCCUUAAAUAAGCCAGACUGGAAUCAGCUGUUGGCCCAAUUUACCCAACAUAAAUCAGCUGUCAAUUAUUCAAUAGUUUGUUCAUUAUCAGCUGAGAUAUAUUGUUUUUGAACUGAUAUCAUUGCAGAAGGUUUUUAUACUGUAUCUACGGUUUGGAAUAUUGUUUUUGCUAUUGUGGGAUGGUGUGUGUUAACAUUUGUGAAUACUACUAAAACAAUCCAUCGUUUUGUUGGGAGGUUUGGCUUGUCUGUUAAGAAAAAUGCAAGCAUUGUGGACAUGUGUUCACUGACUGCAUAUUGUGUGAAAACGACAUGAAAUGUGUGAAGGGUUUGGCCACAAAACACCGAUGCUGUGCUGAUUGUGUUUAGAGUUUUGAAAAUGUGACAACUGUUUGGACAAACGCUUGUUAGCGAUUGAAAAAAACUAACGUACGUUUGUGGCCGCUAGCUGUAGUCAGAUACAACAACAGUGUCUAAAAUACACACGUACUCAUUAUUUUUAAGAUUAAGUCUUUAGAAGAAAAACAAACAUUCAUUAAAAACAACAAUAUUCAUUAAACGCUAUUUGUCAAGAUUAAUGAAUUUCAAAAUGUGUGAUUAGGUUUUUUAAAAUCUAAUGACAACCCCAGUAUUAUAUGAUGAAUAAAGUACUUCACUACAUUUUUAGAAGACUGAAACACAGGGAAGAUCCUGCGAAAGUGCUACUCAGGGCGCCUAAUGCAAAUCAGGAGUUUAAAGAGAUCCUCAGCAGCACUUAUGGGCAUUUGGAAUGAAGAGGCACCCUGCUGUGAUCAGCUACCAUUAGAACAAUUAGACAAAUCAAUGCUGUAAUUAGAUAAUUACUGCAAAUACACACUUAUGAGAUGGAUCUCCUUCACUGUGGCCCACUGUUUCUGCUUCACCAAAGGCCUACGUGGGUUUCAUACGCUCAGUCUUCAGUCAGGCGAAGCGGGCCGGUCUAAAAGAAAAGACCCAAUACAACCCAAUUAACCCCCUUGUGAUGCUCACUGGGAGUGAGCUUUUUGUAAUGUCAAAUUGGGCGGGAGAGAAAUCUGCUGAGCUGGGAACUUUGUAUUAUUCAUGCGGUAUACAGAGACGCUGCACCUUCUCCCAGAGAAGGCAGACUUUCUGUGUGUGUUCUGCAAAAAUGGAAUUUAAGGUGAAUGCUAGACUAUCUGAAGCCCUUGGUGUGUGACGACUUGCAUGAACGUUAUAUUUAGAUUUGACAUGCCCUUCUACAGGUCUCUCAUGUGGUAUUCCACACCUGUGUUUCAUUGGCUGAUCAGACCGCACGGCUUCAUCCCCAGCUGCACCUGCCUGUUUCCAGAGGGUCACCAUUGCCUUGGAGGUACUUUCCCCCAUUGGUUACUGUUGUUCAUGCUUUCUACGUCUGUUCUUUGUAUCUAUCAUUUUCUUUGGACUUUCUCUUAUUUGGCUUUAUAGUCUUGUCUUGUCUUUUUUAGGACUGAACUCCAGCCAAAGUAUUUACUAACCAGCUUUCUGUUGUCGGGUCUCUCUGCUCUGCAGUUGGACGCUGUGCCUCACACUUGGCAUUGAAGUAAGCUUCGGCUCACCAAACCACCCUAAAACAACUGGUUGAAGAAUAAAUAGAUUUUUGACAUAAAUUGCUGUUAUACAGAAUUUUUCAGGUCUCUCAGGGGAAACUUGACUGGGAUUAAUACCGUAAUCCAGAGUUAGUGGAGAAUUAUGGUAACGAGGACUGUCACAUCAACAAAAAGUGUACAAAACAGAGCCAAUAUGUGCUGAAAACCCAGGAGUAGAUUUAAUGUUAUGGUGAUGAUACCUUCCUAAAAGAGAACAUCUGAGUGACGCACUGUGUCCAUAUAUAAUCAGAACCAGGAGAGGAUCCCAGCCUGGUGCAGCCCUGCUCCAUUACACAUCUUAAAUUUACAAACCUUAUUCCUGCUCUGAAAGCGCUCUGACCCUCCGCCAGCUACAAGAAGAGUCAUCACAUCUGUGGCAAUGAUGCAGCACACUCAGUAAUAUGAUAUUAAUUAUUAAUAUGCUAUCCACUCUUAUAAAUGACCGAAAUGUUCUGAAUUUCAGCUCAAGGAUAUUUAGGAACAUUCACCACAGAUUUCUGAAACCUGGUACCUUUUGUAAUUUGAGCAUUAAGGCAAAUUUCAGUUGGAAGCUACGUACAUUUUCCUCUUACAUCGGCAAAUGAAUCUAACAUUUGCAUUUUUAGAUAGUAAAUGCUUGUAUUCUGUGGGUGGUUGAGAAAAGUAAGGCUGUGGGUUCCUCUUAGAAGGAGUCAGUGAGUGUUACACAAUCUUGUAAACUAUAAUAUGUCACUUGCAGCGUUGUUUGUAAGAACUAUUGGGGAGACUAAGAUGAAAAGGGCCGAGAUAACUCUAACCUGUAUUUAAGGAGGAGGUAUAUUGACUGUGCUCUGGCUGACGCUGGCAUCCACUCACUAUGUGAAGAGAAAUGGUCCGUUCGCAGUUCUUUCUAGUUGCUGCCCAGCUAUUACAGAGGAGGACAGACAAUGUCUUUCUUUAACCCAGGUUGCCACGAAAGGUCCCACAUCAAAUUUUUAGCAAGCAAUUAACAACCCAGCAUAGUUCACAUCAUGUCGUGUUUGGCAGCAAGUUAUAAACACUGUUCAUCACAGACAAACCGUUUACGUUUCUUCCAUCUCUGACCAUCAGGUAUUGACAUGCAACACUAAAGAGGAGGUUAUCUGGUCAAAAGAGGGUCCAAAUAAACUGAUCAAUGCAGAACUCGGGGACCUGUGAAGGAGAAGCAGUUUGUAAGCUGCAUGAUUAUUAUUCAGAUAUGCUCUUUGAACAAUUUCUCUAGUGUUAAGUGCAAUUAAACCAAUCCAACAGAAAAUGUCAGACUUGUCAGAGAAUCUGGCAUAUUAGUCUCCUUUCGGAUAAAGCCACAUAUCCACAUAAAGGACCGGCUCUGUUUGUGGAUCCAUAUGGUUUUGCGUCAGGGCUUUCAUGGAGAAGAGAGGUACCAUUUACCAAGAUGGAUGUGUGACAGUUUCUCACCACCCUCAGCAGGCUUAAAGUUCCUCCCAUGCAUUGACCAUAAAACCUGGCAUGCUUUGAGGCGGGCUUCGUGUGAUUGACAGGUCACUGCUCCUACCAGUGUGCAAACGUUGUCUCCAGCUCAUUCCUCCCAUUCCAAAUACGGUAACAUCUCCCCGAGGGUUAGUCCUCCAGACUCCCCUCCAGCGCCGGUUGUCCCCCCGGGGCCGCAUCGGUUCAGCCUGCAGGCAUCCAUAAAGCCGGCCCAUCGUCAGCCUCUCCAGCCCCUCCUCCCCGGCGGUGUGGUGAAGCGGUUGUAACGUGUGUUUCAUCCACUGUGGUGCCUUCAUUCCCUGGUCGGGUGUGGACCUGCAGGCCGGUGCAGACAAACUGUCAUGAUCAGUGUGUCGCUUGGCUGGAGUCGAGUUACUGGCUUCCAACGUUUCGUCACUCGAUCGGGCAGAGACGGAUAAAUGAAUUGAUAUGUUUGUUGGUGUGACCGUUGUUUGCACAUAUUUCCACAGCUACAACAGUGUAUGGGAGGGUUGGUGUCUACAGUUUAAAAAGUAAAUGGAUGUUAGCAGUUUAAAAAAAGAAUCGAUCUAUCGACUAAAAGGCCUUAAUGCUCGUGCUCUACCUGCUGACAUCUUUACCACUGCAAGAAUUAUUGACUGAUCUAAUGCAUAAGUAGGGUUCAAGUUUCAUUAAACAUGUCGGGGUAAGUGGUGUGUUCAUAGUGGGAGUCUAGAAGACAAUACUUGGCUGUCAUUAAAUGAAUUAAAUCCAACAGCAACACCUAUUUGUCAAUGUCUAUUUUUAAAGCCUGAGAGGUCUUGUAGGAUAUUAGAAAUAAACUGACAACCCGGUUCAUAACUUAACUAUUAAUAAAAAAGCAUUUAGUAUGCACCAGAAUACAGCCAUGAUUCUGGAACAAAUUUAAUCAAUAAAGUAAUGAGAAUAUUGUAAAACCACUGUAGACAGAAGAAUACCAACGUACAGCUAUGAUCCUGAAUGUGUCUUUUCAUCAAAUGAAGAUUUGUCUCUUCUCACAUGUUUCCAGAGAACAUAUUGUUGUGUGCCGUUGGUCAGUAAAAUGAGCCACCGUGUUAAAUACGGCCAAGUCCAAACCGAACCAGUGUGUGAAAGCAGUCUAUGUGCAUAUUAACCGUCAUGCUCUGCGUGACCUCCCUGUGGCUGACGUCGUGUGUGGUGUCACCAGCAGGGCUGAUGUGGUUCUCUGUGGGGAACCUGCGGCUCUUUUAACUGGACUGGACAUGACUAAAUAUAAAGAGUGACCUGCAGAGGACAACCAACCUCAGGGGGUUAUGAUGAUGACAGCGCCGAUGAUGAGGGACCCUCUGAAGGCUGAGCAGGUUAAGCUACUUGAUGGAUAUCGUUUUAAAUACUACUAGGAAAACUAUGGGCAACAUAAGGGGCGACUGUGGGUGAGUGGGGAGCACGGUCGUCCUCCAAUCAGAGGGUUGUCGGUUCGAUCCCAGGCCCGGCUAACCUGCAUGUCGUUGUGUCCUUGGGCAAGACACUUAACCCAACAUGGCUCCUGUAGCUGUGACUACAGUGUGUGAAUGGUAGCUACUGAUGGCAGGUGUCACUGUGUAUGGUUCUCCUGUCAUCAGUGUAUGAAUGGGUGUGAAUGGGUGAAUGAUGUCAUGUAGUGUUAAAGCGCUUUGAGUGGUCAGAAGACUAGAAAAGCGCUUUACAAGUACAGGCCAUUUACCAUAAGCAAGUAUCAAAACAUUGUUUUCUGGUGAAAACUCAAUACAGCAAGUAAUUGAACCACUGUAACUGCCAAAUCCCAAACCACCAUGUGUUCUGAAGAUGCCCACAGCAACAGAUGAGCAUUCACAAAAAGUUUGACGCGCGCCGAGCUUUCAACUGACUCCCGUGUAAAACCCAACCACGUUAUUAUUGGAUCCAACAAAACAAGGUUUAUUGUGAAAAGCGUCCAAAUGGGACUCAUGGAGGACAUGUGGGCGGCGCGGUGACCACGGCCGUGUUACGAUUGUUCUGUGUCUAUUCCACUUUGUUGUACGCUGUCUUGCGUGUUGUUUCUUAUGUACGUAAUGUGAAAUUCUGCCAAGGACAUUUUCACAACAUGUUUCCACAAAGCAUCUGAUAAUAGUUGAAGAUUUGCAUUCUUGCGUGCGGUAUGUUUGGAAAGUUACAGUCGAGUGGGUUGCGUUGUGUUAUCUGUAAAUAAUCGGAGUGGCAAACAGAGAAUCCAACAAAAAGAAUAUAUUUAUUUCUGUUUUAUACAAACUGAGAUCAAUGGUUGGCGAUUAUGUGUGAACUGCAUAUAGAACAUCUUAGGAAAUGAUGAGGACUUUCUCCCUCUCUCGCUUUCCUUUCCUUACAGCGUCCGUGUUGCCUUGUACUUUGCAGCCAUAUUUGUCAUUCUCUAUCAAAAAUAACAAUACUUUUUACAUUCACUUUCUGACGUUCUCGCCGUGUCUGCGCGGCUCCGGCUUCCCCCCACAGGCCAAACACAUUCUGGGGGUUAGGUUGGACUGGUGACUGUGGAUGUCUGUGUCAGCUCUGUGAUUGGCUGGCGACCAACGCAGGGUGCUGAUAUUGACUCUACUACCGGUAUUUGCUUUGCAGAUGGAUGGAUGGAUCUUGUGGGGUUUUUUCCACCUCUUUGCUUAAGAUUGCAUUAAACUUUGUCUUUUUACAAAAAGUUCCAAAAUGCUAGCAGCAAAGACAAUCUUCGAUAGAUAAUAUUGAAUAAUUAAAAAUUAAGCAAAAUAUACAGUAGAUGAUACCUUCUGAACAAAAAACAGAGGAAAUGAGAAUCUCAUUAAAUAUAUAAAAAACCUGUCACCUUGAAAACCUCUUCCUCGCUUUCAUCCUCCUCACAGUCGUAUCCCACUGGGACACACAUGAAGCAGCUCUGCCAAAUUUGCAAAGGUUCUACUCAUUUUCACAUUUAACAAAAGUAGUAAUUACUUGAAAAACACUAAUAAACUGCAAUGUUUGACUGACCCCUUUGUGCCAUUACACCAUUCUGUCAUUUUGACGCUGAACCUCCUCCACAUCUUCAAGUAACCGCGACGUCCGGAAGUAGAGGCAGACGUCAGUGCUUCUCCUUGUGCAGUGUUUGUGUUGAUCAGCAGGGGGCAGCGGUGAGCCACACGUGGCAUCGGCGCCGCUGCUUUCUCUGCAUUAUCUGCUGGAAUCUGCACCAGUGCAAACUUUGAACAGCUUGAAGAAUCCCUCUUUGUGGUUCUGUUUGCUGUGGGAUCCCAGGCUCAUCAUGGAGCCCGUCCACACGCUAAAUCUCUCACUCAGCAAGGCUCGUUUGGUUAAAGGGCCCAGCGGUGACGCUGCCUUUCAUAGAUUUCCCCCUCGAGCACACGGACGGUACUCAGAACCUCGACAACGGCAACGCAUUGUUUACUUUGAACAACAGCAGCAUAUUGUCACGCAACGUACGAUGAUGUCAUAUGAAAAAUGACUCAUUUUUAGGCUAUUGCUCUAUGAAAGUCAACGUCACAUGAACACGGUCUUCCAACAAAGGGUUAUGUGAAAAAAAAGUACUUCAGACCCCCUGAAAGCCUCAGCAGCUACAUUUUCAGAGGGCUCUAAAAUCAUAAGUAUUUGUCCCGACGCAACCGUCACUAAAUGUAUUUUGAAAGCUUAACAAUGCCUAGAAGUUUUUAUUAUUCAAAUUGCAAAACAGGGGCAGCACGGCGGCGUGGUGGUCAGCGCCGUCGCCUCACAGCAAGAAGGUCCUGGUUCCACUCCGCCCAGUGGCCUUCCUGUGUGCAGUCUGCAUGUUCUCCCCCUGUCUGCGUGGGUUCUCUCCGGGUUCUCCGGCUUCCUCCCACAGUCCAGAGACGUGCUCUGGGGAUCAGGGUGAUUGGGGACUCUAAAUUGCCUGUAGGUGUGUGAAUGUGAGUGGUUGUAUGUCUCUGUGUAGCCCUGUGAUUGGCUGGUGACCAAUCCAGGAUGUACCCUGUCUAUCGCCCGAAGUUGGCUGGGAUGGACUCCAGCCCCCCCGCGACCCUGUGUGCAGGAUAAGCGGUUUGACAAUGGAUGGAUGGAUGGAUGGAUCUAGAUCAGGGGUUUUCAGGACAAGGUCCCCCAAACUGAUGGCAAGGCGGAGCAGGGACCCCCUAUUCCACGGAAUUUGGUCCGCCAUCUUUUAUUUUGGAGCUUUGCGCUCUUUAGACGUGAGCAUGAACGCGAUCUGAUUGGCUGGUCCCUGUGAUGUUGUAUCAGCAUGAAAGGAGCUGUGAGUAAACCGGUGCCCAGCUUGAGAAGCUCAAUGUGUGUGUUAUGGACUGACAGAUAACUUCUCCAUCAAUUUAUCAGUUUGCUACCAUAUGUUGGAUUCAUGUUAAUGUGUAUUUAAAGACAAUAAAUACAAUUGAUUCUGAAGGCAUUUAAAUUUGUGGGAAAAAAAAUCAACCAAAGAUUUCCCGAACCCCCUGAGUACCUCCGCGGACCCCUGUUGAAGACCUCUGAUCUAGAUUAUUAUUAACCCUCAACAAAACCCCAGUUACAAUGUUCAUGACCCUCCCCUGGUUCCACUACAGCGUCCACCAGACUGGUGGCCUCUAAAUCCGGCUACCAUCAGUGGCGUCAACAAUGCUGUCAAUGCCACAUAUUCUUCUAAAGAAUCAUGCAUCGGUCCGCUUCUCACAAUCAGUUUGCCAAGUGAUGAAUGGGGAGGUGAGGAGACGGGUUUGAUAUAGACGCUCCAUGAUGAGCAGCACCUUGGGGGACGUUGGAUGUGACAGAAAACUCCCUAACGGAGCUUUCUGGUACCACAACAACGUGACUAUUUUUCUAUCCAUAGCUGUAUUCUCAGGUUCAACACGGGGAUGCACGCUACCGUUUCUAGGUUCUGGGCAAAUAAAUCAAACUGGGCUUUGGUUAUACACAGCUGUCAUUGGAAAGUGUUUUCAUCCAUCUCCAUUAUAGAUUUCCAUGCAAUGCCACUCUUAACUAUGACUUCAGCGUAUUGAGAUAGGGGUGGACUGUAUUGCGCUGAAGUAGGAUGAAUAUAAUCCACCUCACAGAAGAGCAGUGAUGGCUGGCCCAUUGAGCCUGAACCCACCUAGAGUCAGAAAAAAAAAGAAGACAUUAUAUAUAUAUAUACACCUCGCCCGGAUCCGGCUCGAGCUCGGCACGAGUUUGCCGACUCGUCUGAGACUUGGGAGGAAUGAUGCCCCAGAAUCGGGCCGAAUACACUUGCCCGAAUCCGGCCUAUGACUCUGAUCAGGCCUAUGAUUUUCUAUUAUUAAAAUAAGACAGACCAAAAAGCACAAUGCUAAAAGGGUCGACUCUGCGAUCCCCCGUGAUUCCUCCCACUUAUGGAAAUGGUAGCAAAGAAGAAAAACAUUUUCACAAGAUUCUGCGGUUCCACUCUGCUAUGAAAUCGGGCACGCUGAGCUGAACACACACCCAUUAUGAAGCCUAAUCCACUUUUGGGCUGAUUGAGUCCAGACUUGUUUCAACGCUUCAAACUUUAUACACAACAGCGGACAGAGAGCACCAGAGGACUGACUACUACCCCGCCUCUCCCUCCCUGAAGCACUGUAUUGCAUAUUAUGACACACGUAGGACGAGAAGCGCCUCAAACUUUUUUACGGAGGAAGGAGAAUUGGAAUAAGUAUCCGGCUGGAUUGCAUGCUGUGUUUUGCAACGAGGCGGUUUUGCAGCCUUUUUGCACAGCAGCCACACGGAAUGAGAGAGGUAGAAAAAGAUACAGACAAAAAGAAAGACGAGAGCAUGCAGCAGAAAAAAUGAUGAGGAGGAGGAAGCUAAUAUAAUUUGCCUGUCAGAAUGCAUUAGGGCUAAACUGGACACACACACACACACAUUCGCACACACGAUGGUUUUAAUUCCAGAAUCUCAUUUCAGAUCUGAUUAAUUACUCUCUCACGCUUGACGAAGGAAAUCAGCAGCAAAACUGAAGGGAUUAUCACACACAUAUACUUGUGUGGAUGUGUGUGCAUAUAGGCACAGAUGGUAAAUGAAUUAUUCAUCCAGCUCGGCUGUUUUGGUUUUGUUUUAAAUUGAAAAUGCAACACAACAGCAACACAAUUAUAUCUGCAAAAACAAUAGGACGUAAACAGUGUGUGUGUGUUUCACAGAGAUUAGCGCGGAGAUGGUAAAAGGAAAACAAAAGAAUUACAUUUGUUGACUGACAAAACAAUAGUCAUGUGCCUACGGCCCUUGCAUCAUCUGCAGUUUGAGAUUCAACAGUUUAAUCAUAAUAUUACAGAAUGUGGUCAUUGUAUUCCGAGGGUUACUGAGUUUAAUUGAGGUUUACACAACAUUCAAUAAGCAGAUUUUUUUUUCAGAAUGACUCAAACCAUUGACUGUGUGUAAUAAGUAGUUGCAGUUAUUGAGACAUCAUCCAUAUGGUUUGUGGACUUUUCUCUGGGUUUGGUAUUUUGGCCGUCGCCAUUUUGGAUUGCGUUCCUCCUCGCCCUCUUUGGUUUUUACACAAAGACAAAAGUGACCAUAUUAAGACUUCAGAGGAGAGGCGUAGAGGAGUGCGUGUACGACUGGUUAAGGGCCUGUCGCGUCCCAGUCUGAGGCCAGAGUAGAGCGGAGCUUGGACCAGGCCGUCUGAGGUCCUCCUGUGAAGAGGAAGUUGCAUGUGGGAUAUGUGCCUGGAAAAGCACCAGAGAAUGAAAUGCAUGUUUGCUGAGUGCAUACCAUAAGAUUAUGUACAGAGAAACAGUCAGUGCCAACAGUGACUUUUCCACGACAAGUGACAGGAGACACACACGGCUUAAAUACACUAGGGAGGUGCAGGUGAUUGGACACAGGUGGAAACUAUCAGACAAUCACAGACGAUGACAGGACAAGGCAGGAAGUGAAGUUACCCAGGGAGACAAGAAGCAGAAAACUACAAAAUAAGACAGGAAAUAAAACCACACACACACUUUCACCCAGGAUGCAAUGAUCGGCAACACAUGGGUCAACACAAUGAUCGGGUCCCGUGUGAAACCUCUCACGGCCAGUCUGCAUUGACUUAUUGGUAUUUUGUAGCAUACAUUUGGGAAUUAAAAGGUUCUCUAUUUGAUAUUUAGUACUUAAAAUAGAGACAAACAAUUAUUUGUCUUACAGAUAUAACAGAGAAAUUGUGUAUGAAUAACGAACAAAAAAUUGUUCCUUUUAGAUAUCAAUAAAACCGUUGUAAGAGGAUACUUUUGUCCACCUCUAAUCCGGACCGAUGAGAAUAACUAACUCAUUAUUGAUGGAAGAUGGAUGCUCCAGUGUUGAAUUGACUCCAAGGUGACACUGACAUGUCAAUUUCUGUGCAUAUCAUGGCGGUGCUUCUCCUUGUCAGUUUCUGUGAACACUCAGUUACAGUUUUGCCUUUCACACGUCGGCCUGAGAUCAUCUAUGGGACCAAUCACAAUCCAUUACCAUGGUGGCUUUCAUUAACGCCCCGUGAAAAUGAAUUCCAACUGGUUUCACACUCAUUAUGAACCUGUGACCUCCAACAGAGAAACUUUCUUCUGAGAAAACCAGUAUUCCAUAUCACAUCUGUAUAUAGUGCACAUUAUUGUUCAUUUCAGUAUUCCUUUUUUUUCCAAACAUAGAAUAAAAUUGUCAAAAAAUAAGAAUGCAAAAGAUGUGAUAUUAUGUAUCAUACAGAAAUGAAUAAAUAAGGAAAAGUUGAGGUACCUAAAUUAAAAUAUUUGGGUCAGAAAGCACAGACCUUCAAAAAAUGUAUAUAUAUAUAAUUCAUAUAUAUAGAAAUGUAAGUGCUACUGAAGUGGAGUCUUCGAAUAACAAUCUGCUAAUAGAUACCAUCCUGAAACACACCCUGAAUAUUACUUUCAUUAAGACAAAGUUGUAUCAAAUGUCUACAGUAGUAAAUAGCCAAAUAUGUAAAAUAAAUAUAUUGUUUUCUUUCCAAUCGUCUGUGGGCCAUUUCAAAAUAGCGACAACAGCCCCAAAUCUCAAAGAACAUGUGUCUUUCAUUAAGAAGAGUUUUAAUCCUUUUUCUAGCACAAAAUAGCAUCUCCAAAUACACGGCCGUCCAAGGCCACUCACCUCGGUCGGUGCUUCUGCAGAAAAGUCACACAGCCACAGAGAAUAUAUAGAUUGAACAGCGUUUUAUCCCCAGAUGGCAGAAAUUCUCUCAAUAAAAUCUAACAUCACCAAGGAGACGGACUGUGAGGGAAUCUCCACUGACAAAUAGAGAUUGAUUUAUCAUGAAUAAUGAAUCCCAUAAAUUAUUCGACAGCCAGCAUGAUGACUAACAUGUGUUCUGAACGACCUUCGUGUUGAGGCUCAUUGUAAGGUUCCAAUUUUAUGUGAGAGAAAGCCGGAAAUAACCAGUGAGGUUUAUGAAUGAUUUAAAGGGACUGUGCGACUUAAAUGUUCACUUCUCAGUUUGGAUACAUUAAAAUGUGAUAGUGAUAUUGAUAUUGUUCGCCAACUUGACAGUAAAUUCAGGUGGGAUUGCUAAGAUACGUAUUUGUCCUUUUCCUUUAACUCUUUAAAUUAGGGUCCUGAAGGGCAGGUGUCACCUUGCACGGUAACAAUCAGUGAAUAAUUUAUAUUCAAUUCAUUUUAUUUUGUAUAUCUCAAAAUUGCAAAUUACAAUUUGCCUUUGAGGGCUUUAUAGUCUGUAUGCAUCUUCUAUCCCAAAACCCUCACAUUGGAACAGGAAAAACACCCCACAAGAGGUGCACGGGGGUGCAAGAUCCGUAUGGCGGGCAUAGCUGCGUGAGGGCGGAGGGCACCCGCACAACUUCCUUCAUCGAAUCCCUCAUAGAAGAACUAUUCUUUUCUUUCUCCGCAGUUUUACCGGGGAGUGCACAGGGCGGCCAACCGGUCGGCACGCCUUGUCCCUUCAUAGCCCGUAUUCAUCACUUCCGGACAAAGCAGCGCAUGAUGAAGCUGGUACGAGAAAAAGGUCUCCUGGCCUACAGGGGCUCGGAAAUUCAUACUUACUUGGCUAGAAAGAGAGCUUCUUUUUCCCGUCAAAACCGCACUGAGGAAAGCAGGGUAUCAAGUGAGCCUGGUCUUCCCGGCCAGAUUUCGAGUGAUCUUUGAUGCAACCAUGCACAAAACGGGAGUCAAUAGCUUUUCUUGGCUCGACUGAGGUUGGGGUAACCCGGUGAGUGAAUUUGUUUGGCUGGCUAAGGAAACACAUCAAUAGCAAACUCUAUGACCAGUUGAUUACUAACUCAUAUACACCCAACCCAACCAACCUUAAUAACCGAGAGUUUUAAGUGCAUAAUUGCCUCACUGUCUUUCAUCGUUUACUCCUUCACUACUUGACAGGAGAAAAAACUCCCCAAAAACCAUCCAUGAAUUACGGCAAUUAGCAUCCGUCCCCAGGUUUUAACAUUACAUGGAAGGAUGUUAAUGUGUACAGUUAAUUGUGUUGGAUUCAUAUUGCAAUUAUUUCAAUCUAACAUGCUAAUGUAAUAACUCAUCUAAUAACACAAAAACUACGAUUGUAACACUAAACAUUACUGCAUGUAAUAUUGUUUCUAGGUGUGCUCUUCUGCUAAAAUCCCUAACACUACCUGCCAAUAAGGAGCUUUGUACAAAGCACUUUUGAUUAAUUUCGAAACAAACCCAUGGAAUCACGUUGACAGCCUCCUAGAACAGUAGAGGUGUGAUAUCCCAAACUUAGCUCAUUGACAAUAUUUACCCACACUCUUGGAACAUUUAAGAAUGUUGGAGACUGAGAUCUUGGAGUGGUUAUAACAAAUGACCAAUGGGACUCUAUUCUAGACUUGAUAUAUACAUCAUCUAAAUUCACUACAACGUAAUACAAGUAAAAGUGGUAUAGUGCUAGAUUUGGCAAUGAGGUUUUAUCUUUUAUUUAUCUGUUAUUGCCCUCAGACACGUGUGAAUCCUCUUCCCUGCUGGGAUAAAAACUGAAAAUCAAUAAAACAUAUUUACAAAAAAAUCAUAGUAAAGUCACAUCCUUGAACAUCCUCUGUCCCAGUUUCCAGGUCAGAGGAUAUUGGGGGUUUUCAAUGACAUCAGAUGUCAAACAUUACACAAGCUCAAAAUGUUCAACCAUCAAUAAGUCUAGACGAGAUUAAUGCAUGUACUGCUGUGGUGGAAUAACAAAGGCUUUUGGGAAGUCGCAUGCCACCGGACCCAGUGACCUACCAUUGGUAGGUUUUUGAUCCUUGUGUGACUGACACUGCUGGUAAGACUCUAAGCUAAACGAAAGUUAUGUUGUCCUACGGCAGAGUUCACUAACUGGCGGACCGCAGUCCGGACCCAGAAGCCGUCCCAUCCGGACCAAAAGCUAAAAAAAGGCCGUUUUAAACGUGACAGCGCACUUUCGACCGGCGCAUCUUUGGUCGUCUUUGCAAUAGUGGCUUAAAGCACCAAUUGUAUUCGAGUUAAACCAUCCCGCGUGAUACUACUCGACAAAUCAAGUCUUUGUAUUCCAGGAAGGCUGAUGAUAUCGUCUAUCUUCAAUACUGCAGACAGACGAGAAAGGUAGCGGACAAUGACAAAUAAAAAGAAGGUAAGAAGAAAAGAAAGAUAGAAACAUUUUAGAAAAAGACGAGUGGGACAGAGAAAGCGAGAGAAAGACGGUUGCGACAAAUGAGGAACAAAUGGCGGUCUGCUAAAAGAGACAAGUGGACAGCAAAAGUAGAGCAUUUAAUCCUCAAUGGACGGACUGGUUUUUGUUCAUACUUCCCACUGCAGCACAAAACCAGCGUCUCAUGUACUCAGAACCCCUUGAAACGCCAUCAUGAGGCUCAAUGAGCUCCUCUACGUGAGGAGGAGAACCUGAUGCAUUAAGACCAGGUUCAACAUCCUGGCAGGAAAAACUAGAUCUUACCAAAAAAGUGGGGGAGUGGAUAUACAUAUUCUAUUAAACUGCUCAAUUGUUAAAAUGAGUUUAGAUUCAUAAUUCAUAAUGAGACUGUCGUGAAAAAGGGAAAAUUCAAGCUUUUCUUCGGGUUAUUUUUUUUUUUAUGAAUUGAAACACAUUUCAACAUGCAGAAAUUUUCACUUUUAAAUGCAGCCCUACCUUUAUCAGAGCUGCCAACUUUUUGUGAGAUUUUGUGGGGGGGGCCAACAUUUUGCUGUGUGUGGCUGCCACCAACCGGUGGCUCAAAUAUCAGGGAAUAGUUUGGCAUUGUACCCAUGUGGUGGCCUGGAAUCUGGUGGUUCGUGGGGCUCAAAGUCGUUGACAGUGGCAGCACUGGGCAACAUUGGUUACAUUCUGUAAUGUAGCAAAGACAUGAAGGUCCAUCCCCAGGGCAGUUUGGUUUAGGUAGAUUUCCUGCAUUCUACUGGAUUUCUGGGUGGUAUGCUAAAUGUCAAUGUCAAUUUUAUUUAUAUAGCACUUUUAAAGGCCAGUGGCCAGCCAAAGUGCUUUACAGGAUAAAAAUAAUCAGCGUCAAGAAAACAAUACAAGCAAACUUAAAACAAACAAACAAGCAACAAACAAGCAAAAAACAGUAAAACAGUAAAAGGCAAACAAAUAAAAGAUCCAAUGCAGGUGACUUAACUCAGCCAAAGGCCAAUGUGAACAAGCAAGACUUAAGGCGUGUUUUAAAAGUAGAAAGGCUCGUCGCAGACCGCAGAGAAAAUGGCAAAGCAUUCCACAGUCUGGGAGCCGCUACUGCGAAGGCUCGAUCCCCUUUCGUUUUUAGGAACGACCGAGGAACGUUCAGAACCAGCUGGUCAGCUGACCUUAGGGCUCUGGAGGGUUGAUGCACAUUAAAAGGCUGGAUAAAUAUUCUGGGACCAGUCCAUGCAGAGACUUAAAAAUAAAUAAAAGACUCUUAAAAUCAAUUCUGAACCUAACCGGAAGCCAGUGGAGAGAGGAAUGCUAAAGAUGUGCAAUACCUGGACUUAUUCAGAUUCCUGCUCAUCUGAUCAUGACUUGUAGGGCCUUCUAGAAUUGAGCUGAACAUUCAACCAGAAAUGUAUUUCAAUCACUGUCUAUGUGCCACAAUUAAGCCUAAUUAAUAGACCUGUGUUUGAGAUUUAACCAAGGUAGGUUGAUUGACAUCUUGAGUACAAUAAACCUAACCUAUAUUGUUAAUUAUAUUAACAGAUUAUAUUAAUGAUAAUAAUUGUAUUCUUAAGAGCACUUAAUGAUUUAUAUUCAGCAAAAAAUGACAAGAUUAGUUUGGGAGAAAUAUUUGUCAUUAUUCAAAGCCUCCCACACACGUUCCAUCCAACGAAUCAGAAAAGGUGCAACAAAUAAAGUGCUUAAAGUGCUUCAACAGUAGCCUUUUAAGCAAUAAAAUACACUGACAUAUGUAACCCUUUGAUAAUCAAUAAAAUGUGAAAUGAAUUGCCAAUCGCUUGCUAGCUGUCACACCAUAAAUAUCCGGGUCGGGGAAAGGUCACUUCCUGUUAUGGAUUACGGUCCCACUCGGCGAUGACAGCUAGGUCAACACGCAGAAUUCCUCGUUCAGCAGUCAGGUUUUUGAACCAGGACACGAGUGGUACCUGAAGGCUUACGGAUUACCAUUUGGAGCUACCAAACGGACCAACCUUCCAGUACUGUGGAGACGUGGUAGGACAAGGACACUAAAACCAUUUCCAUGGACCUCAAAGUGGAUUAUAUACUUUUUUCCAUAUUUUUCUUUCCUCAUGUGAUUAACCGGAUAGACUUGAGACUAACUGAAUUUCUUUAUUUAUGAAUACAGUCUAUAAAUGCACCGCAGUGACAGCUGGACUGACUCGUCAUUUUUUUUUUCCCACACACAUUUGGCUCCGUAGGCGAAUUUGAGAUCUUUGGGUUGAAGUGCGAAUUUGGUUAAACUCAUCAAGCGAUGGUUACACAUACGCUCCUCUUUCUCAAACCCACCUCCUACUUCUUGCGUCCCACUGACUUCACCUCCAUCGCCCUCACUUUCCUCUUUCACCCCCCUGUCUCCUAACCAAAUUCUUACCCUGGUAACCUCUGCCCGUCCGACCACCUGCCCUCUUGACCCCAUUCCAUCACAUCUUCUACAAUCUAUCGCACCUGACCUUCUUCCUUUCCUCACCUGUCUCAUCAACAAUGCUCUGUUAUCCUGCUGUUUUCCCAAUUAUCUGAAGGAGGCAAGAGUCAACCCACUCCUGAAGAAACCUACCCUCAACCCUUCUGAAGAAAACAACUACAGACCGGUCUCUCUUCUUCCCUUUUUGUCCAAAACCCUUGAACGUGCGACCUUUAACCAACUCUCCUCCUAUCUCCACCAUAGCAUCCUCCUCGACCCCCACCAAUCAGGCUUCAAGGCCAUUCCACAGAGACUGCUCUCCUUGCUGUCUCAGAGCAACUCCACACUGCUAGAACCGCCUCUCUCUCCUCUGUCCUCAUCCUUCUGGACCUCUCUGCUGCAUUUGACACAGUCAACCACCAGAUCCUUAUUUUCUCCCUUCAGGAACUUGGUGUCUCAGGCACUGCUCUCUCCCUUCUCUCGUCCUACCUCGACGGCCGCACCGACCGUGGGUAACCUGGCGAGGAUCUGUGUCGGAACCUUGUCCUCUUACUGCUGGAGUUCCUCAGGGUUCCGUCCUGGGUCCCCUCCUCUUCUCGCUCUACACCAACUAUCUCGGCGCUGUCAUUUGCUCGCAUGGCUUCUCUUACCACAGCUAUGCCGAUGACACCCAACUUAUUCUCUCCAUCCCUCACUCGGAUACCCAGGUGGCGGCUCGGAUCUCUGCCUGUCUAACUGACAUCUCUCAGUGGAUGUCCGCCCACCAUCUGAAAAUCAACCCCGACAAGACUGAACUACUUCUCUUUCCGGGAAAAGAUUCUCCGACCCAGGACCUGACGGUCAAGUUUGGCAACUCCGUGGUAACGCCCACUUUAACUGCUAAGAACCUCGGCGUCACACUCGACAGCCAACUCUCCCUGACUCCCAACAUCACUGCGACAACACAAUCCUGUAAAUACACGCUCUACAACAUCAGGAGAAUACGUUCUCUUCUCACUCAGAAGGCAGCCCAGGUACUGAUUCAGGGUCUUGUCAUCUCCCUCCUGGACUACUGUAACUCUCUCCUGCAAGUCUCCCUGUUACCGCCAUCAGACCUCUGCAGCUCAUCCAGAAUACAGCAGCUCGACUGGUCUUUAACCUUCCGAAAUUCUCCCACACUACUCCACUCCUCCGCUCUCUUCACUGGCUACCGGUGGCUGCCCGCAUCCCGUUCAAAACAUUGGUGCUCACGUACCAUGUGAAUGGAUCAGGUCCAGCUUACAUCCAGGACAUGGUCCAACCCGACAUCCCGACCCGCACUCUCCGCUCUGCAUCUGAUAAACUGCUUGUUCCUCCUCACUGAGAGCAAAAACACUCGACUAGAUCACGAGGUGAAAACACCUCUUCAGACUCCACCUCGACUAAAAGACUAACAAACUGUAGCACUUAAAUUGUACUUGUAACGUCACUCAUCUAUAGCAAAUUGUAAAUUGGCUUAUUUUUUCUUCUGAGUUUGUACCCUUAUGGUUGAAUGCACUUAUUGUAAGUCGCUUUGAAUAAAAGCGUUAGUAAUAUAAUGUAAUGUAACAAUAGAUCAACACAUGACAAAAGAGAUCAGAUGCAGAUCAGAAGGUGGUUAGUCAUUUUCUAAGAUCUGUGGGCAUCAUAUAUAUUAAAUACUAUGACGUUAAUCGCAAAUUAUGUCAUGUUUUGUGAUGUUAGUACAUUUAACUGCACAAGGACCACUACACUGAUUGUCUUGUUACUCAAACAUCAAGAGGCCAACAAACGGCAGGUGUGUGUGUGGAAUGUAACACUAUCCAUUAAAAUAUGAACUGUUUAACUGUUGUUACCGCAAACAACCUCCUCUUACUCUCUGAAACCAUUAUAACGCUUAUGCUGUGUGAUGUAAUAAAACAGCCCUGAAUUAAAUGUUCUCCUCAGUAACGUUUACAUGUUUUUGUCACGCCCUAAUUGUGUUCACCUGUUUUUCCCCUGUCUCCCCCACACCAGGUGUUCCCUGUUUGUCAAUUAUCCCUUGGGCAUAUAACCUGUGUCUUCUCCCUGUUCUUGUUGCCCGCCUCUAACAACGACGCUGCCUGCCACUUCUGAACCCCUGAUCUCCCGUGUACCGAACUCCUGCCUGCCUCCGACAACGACACUGCCUGCCCGAAUUCCUCUUCAUUAAAAGACAUUUAAUAUUCCUCACAUCUGCGUUUGGGUCUCUGUCUGAGUUGUGACAGUACGAACUGGCCAUGACAGACCCUGCAGAACCUGACUCCCUCCGGAAUGCCGUCGCUCUUCAGGGAGCUGCUAUAGGAAGGCACGAAGACAUCCUACAACGGGUCAUGGAGGGACUUCAAAGUCUCUCUGACCACCACGAUCGGACCUAUCAAUCCCUGAUGGAGCGGUUUCGUGGGAUGUCUAUGGCACAGCCAACUACAGCGGGCCCUGCCCCAGACCAAGGUGGCCUCGCAGCUAGUGCGGCCUUGCCGGUAACCAACACGGCCCCUCGGGAAACCAACUUACCUCCUCCUGAGCGCUAUUCUGGAGAACCAAGAACCUGUCGUUCGUUCCUCUCCAAGUGUUCCCUGAUCUUCGAUCCUCGUUUCAAUCAGAGCGUUCCAAGGUAGCGUACAUCGUUUCACUUAUGUCCGGGAGGGCAGGAACUUGGGCUACGGCAGUGUGGGAACAGCAAACACCCAUCUGCUCCAGUCUGGCUGCCUUUGUGGCCGAAAUAAAAAAGGUUUUUGAGUCACCGGUGUCGGGGAGGGAAGCAGCCCGUAAACUCCUGCGACUCCGGCAGGGCUCUCACUGCGUGUCAGACUACGCGGUGGACUUCUGCACUCUGGCUGCAGAUAGUUUGUGGAAUUCAGAUUCUCUCUUCGAUGCUUUUCUUCAUGGGCUGUCCGACAUUAUCUAGGAUGAGCUAGCAGCACAAGAGCUGCCCCCUGAUCUUGGCUCAGGGGGCAGCUCUUGUGCUGAGGGGGGCCUGCAGAGGGGGGCCUGAAGAACAGGCAGCAAUGUCAGAGUACAUACUACAACAGAUCAGCUAGAGACUUGGACACACUUGCCACGGGUGACUGUGUGAGGAUACAACCACUCCCACCCCACGCUGUCUGGAGACUAGGCAGGGUGCUGAAGCCAGUUGAUGGGAGGUCCUAUGAGGUUCAGUUGCAAUCUGGAAGUGUCAUUAGGAGAAAUCGCAGACACCUCAAGCGUGCACCUGGUGUGACCUUUAGUGACCCUCUCGAUAUGGAGAUCAGCAUCCCCAGUCAGCCACAGGCUGUGAGAUAUGAACCUGCAGAGUCUGUUCCUGUCCCUCACGGUGUCGCAGCAGAACAUACACUGGUGGCGGAGACACCCCUGUCACGACCAGAGCCGGGCGCACAGUGGUGUGGCCACAGCGGCACGUGAAAAGUGUACAAGCGCAAAAGUUAUGGUUUAUUUGAUAUUGUUGUGAUCAUUUGCACAUUUCAUGUUAUUAGUGAAUGGUUGAGUGUUAUCUCACUGUGAAAUUGGUGAUGCUGUGUUUUCAGUUUGUUAUAGACUAUUUUCAUCAGUUGCUGAGAGAAGAUUUUGAUUGAUAGCAUAUUGAAUUGUUUAUGAUUUAGCAAUAAGCAGUGUCAGUAUUAUAAUCUUGCUUGUUGGCCACAGUCAAAUCUUGAGAUAACAGCUCUAACUCUCAAAAGAGAAAGGAUGUAACAAUAGGAACUCAACAGUCAUAUAAUGACUGUUGCCUGCUAUGCGGUUAUCAAUGAAUGCUAAAGUGCAUUUGUCAAAGGAUUAUUUGGUAUCUGGCUACAUUGCCUUUGUUAUUUCCCUUUUUAGUUUUCACGGUGUUGGUGCUAUGCACACUCGUCUGAAUUAAAGUAAACCCGUCUGGAAACACUCCCAAGCCUGUUUAUUCCAAGUUGAAGGGAUGCUACACAUGCCUUCUCCAUGGUGGGGAAAAUACAUUUGCCACCAGGAAGGUCCUCACAACGUUAAACUGGCCUUUUCUUGCAUUGUCCCAAAAAAUGAAAAAUCCUUCCAUGGGGAAAAAAGCGAAGAAACCAUAGGGAGAACAUCAGAGGAGGAUCCCAGGUGUACGGCCGGACCACUGCAGCGCCACCAUCACAUAGAACCGGCAUCCACAGAAGCCUGUGGGGAGGGAAAACAAAGACUUUAGUAAAUACUCAAAGUUAGCGAUGCGGAUUAAUGUUUACAGCAAUAGAAAUGGGAAUAUCAAUGGUGUUUGAAGCGGUAGGUGUCCGCGGGGCCAGGCAGGUGUCAGGACCAGGGUCCAGAUGGAUCUACGAUCUACGGAAACCUGCGGGACGAAAAAGCACAACAAACUCCGGGAAAGAAGCUGAAUUAGUGAAUUGCAUUAAUAAAACAUGGAUUAUUGUAGAAGGAGAGAAUGAGAGAGGAGCUCGGUGUGUCCUAAAAGUCCCUCGGCAGUCUAAGCCUAUAGCAGCUUAACUAAGGGCUAACCUGAGCCAGCCCUAACUAUAAGCAAUAUCAAAGAGGAAAGUUUUAAGCUUUAGCUGACCGAAUCUGCCCCCUGACUGAAAGUGGAUGCUGGUUCCACAAAAGAGGAGCUUGAUAACUGAAGACUCUGGCUCCCGUCCUACUUUUUAAAACCACAGGAACAACAAGUAACCCAGCAUCUAUGGAGUGCGGCUGCCUUGUACGGCAAUACUGUGUUACAAGCUCUUUGAGAUAAGAUGGUGCCUGUUAAGGGUUCGUUGGGCCCUCGAUGGAGGCCUCACUCCUUUGUUCUCGUCCCGGCCGGAAACGAUGAAUCAAAAGAGUCAACUUGCUCAAAUUUAAAAAUCAAAAAGUAUUUAAUAACUAAACAAAGUGAUAAGGCACACAGUUACAAAGUGAAAUACAACGCGAACAGUGAAAUAUUUCGCGAAAUAGAGAAUUCUCGGACCAAGUCUAAAGUGACUUAUCAAAGCGGCUGGAUGGUUCCCCGUUUCCCCCUCCUGAGGUGCCGGAUGGUCUUCCAGAAGCACUUUGGUGCCGACCGAAAGUCCUUCUCCAUAGUCCCCCGAACUCCUCCCAUUCUCGCUGCUUUGCCUCCAUCGCGGCAGAGGCUGCUGCCCUUCGAGCCUGUCGGUACACUGCAACUGCCUCCGGAGUCCCACCGGAUAUCAUAACCCGGAAGGCCUCCUUUUUCAGUCGGACGGCUUCCCUGACCACCGGUGUCCACCAUGGGGUUCGAGGAUUACCGCCCCUUGAUGCACCUAAGACCUUGAGGCCACAACUCACUGCUGCGGCUUCAGCAAUGGAGGUUUUGAAUAUACACCACUCUGGUUCAAUGUCCCCUACCUCCACAGGAAUGUGAGAGAAGUUCCGCCGGAGGUGUGAGUUGAAAAUCUUUUGGACCGGGGCCUCCUCCAGACGUUCCCAGUUCACCCUUACUACAUGCUUGGGUUUACCGGUCUGUCCCGAGUCUACUAGCAGUCUAGAUAACCUAAAAACAGCAGAUACAAUAGUAAUUUAGCAGUAAUCCAAGUCCCCAAGUCCAAAUGCACUUUUUUUGGACAUACUGUACUUUAAGACCGCAGCACUGCAGCAUUAUAUCUGCUUCUACCGUCUCCUCUAGAUGGAGACCGACAAGCUGCCAGCUGCUGUCUGCAGGCCGACGAGGCGGAUGAAUGAGGCCUGUGGUGAGCUGGUUGUUAGCGGAGGACAAGGCUGUAGGAUAAACUAUCUGACAGCUUGUCUCCUCUCUCCACGCUGAGACGUCAGCCUCCAUCUGCUGCCUGUCAGCCUGACGGAUGCUGCUGUCCACACAAAGUGAUUAGAUAAUGUGGAAAAACGCAAAUUUACAAGAAAAAACAGUGAAUAUGACUUUUAGACAGUAUGAAACAUUGACUGGUUUUAAGCUACAUUUGGUUAAUGCAGGCUCAAGUUUUAGACAGUUAGAAGUUGAGGAUUUAUUUCUUCAAUUAUUAAUAUAUGACAUGACAACUUAGAAAGAAGUCAUAUGUUUUCCAAAUAAGGGAAAUGAAGCGUCAUAUAGUACAUCCACAGAGUUCCGACAUUACGUCGAAGUUCUACAAAUCAAAUGAAGAAACAGAUCAAAGAUCCACACCCUCAAAAAAAAGACAGUGUACACUUCACACCAUUAAUCAACACCCUUUUCAACAUAUAGGAUGGUCCAUUUACCUUGAAAAAGGGCCUCACAAUGCUUCAGGUAGAGUUGAAAUAUCACUACUUCUGUACAUAACUUUGUAGUGUAAAAUAAUACAUUGGCUAUUGUGAGAAGAGUUUUUAAGUAUGAAGAUGUGUAAACGUUGCUUUUCUUCAAUGACAUUCAGAAUUGCAAGUCAUCUUAAAUAAUGAAUUGUAUCAAACUCCCCAAAAGCAACUACUGAAGCAAUGAGGACAGCUUUGAUGAAGAAGGGAGAGCGCUAGUGAGUCACAAUGAAUAAGUGACGUUGGAGGGAUUGUUUGUCUGUUUGGGAGGUGGAACUCAAGACAGUUAUCUUCUACCUUUCUGUCAAACACGAUGGCAAGAGCUUUGAUUGAACAGAAGACCAAGGCAAGACUCGACAGAAAAAGAAGAGACUUUGUGAACGUGGCUGAAACAGAAGACCUUGAAAUUAGCAGUCGGGGAAUCACAACUCGGCCAGUGUUGCUGCAGGUGGGUUAACAUCGGAGGCAAUGGACCCUUCGACGAGCCCUGUCCCCCACUGCUACUCCGUCAAGCUGUCAGAGCUACAAGGGAGCAACACUGUGCCUAACUGCACCCUUCAAUAUUGGUUUACAUCCAGAAUGGAACCAAAAACUGGUUCAAAAGAUUGUGGAUAAAACCACAGUUCAGGAUGAGGCUGUCUGUCUAAACCAAAAUAAAUGCCUUUCACAGUAGACGUGACUGCGUGUUUUAGGUGUUAGUGAAUGUUUUGGGUUCGUGGAGGUUCAUUAGAAUGUGUGUAUGCUUUGGUAUGUAAACUGUUACGGCUGCCGUUGGCAACCUCAUGUGGGUAAUUAAAGAUAUGCAAAACAGGCUGUGACAUCCCCCACUCAUGAUUGGAAGAACAAGAGAAGACCCGCCCAGAAGUCCCGGCCAAUUGGAGGAUAGCCAUUGCCGGUCCCGCCAGUUCAAAUGGCGAUCAAAGCUGAGGGUGGCUGUCAGACCAGAUUGUGGAAGAGCAGGUUGGAGGGUGAGAAAGGGGCCCAGGAAUAAGAGUCAGAAAUACUGAUACCACCUGUUGCACUUAACAUAAUUUUGUUGUCUAGUCCCAUUAGGUCCAGGGGUGCUGUGAGUAUUAUACCUUCGGUUAUUAAAUAAUUAAGUUAGUGAGGACCUUUUUGUUUAACCUUUUGUUUUCUUAGAUAGACAAGGAUAAUCUUCCUUUUGAGGAUCUCUUUUGGUUGUAUUCUGUGUUUGAGUUCCACAGCACCCGUUGGCCCCAUUCUCUCUUUGUAAGAACUUUUGGAAUCUGUAAAAGUUUUGGUAUGGAUAUUUUUGGUUUAUUCAAAAAUUGUACUGUUUUUUUAUGGGAUAUGAACACUUUUCUGUGCCGUAUUUCUGCUGCAACAGCUUGCGAGCAGAGAAAAGAAGCCACUCGUCAAGAUAUAGCUCCAGCACAUAACUCCCCCCCUCCCCCCUAUGCCAAAAAAACAUGUCUUGCAUUUGGGUUAUUGUAUUAAUUAAGCAAACAAAACAGUUGCUGGAUAAGAUUUGGAGGAAAAGUGAAAAAUGUACAGUAGGAUUAAAUAAGAUCAUACUGAAAAUGUUCAGAAUGAUCUUAUACAACAGCAAAGGUUAGAGUGCAAACAGACAUAGUUAAACAAGAUCAAAACAGUUAUAAAUAAAAGUAAUAAACAAUAGCUGAAAUGAAAUGUACAGAAUUGUUCAAUAAUACAGCCAUUUAUCAUACAUACAGAAAUAAUUGAUUUGUGGUCUACUGUAGUGUAGCAGCUUGAUGGUGACUUUUCUUCACACACUGUAAUAUUAAAAUUUAGUUCUGGCAAUUAGCUCUAAAUCCUUAGAAUUGACUGGAUUCUUACAAUAAAGUGAACUGUGAAUGAAGUCCAUAUUCAGAUUAAUUUUUCACUCCGAUGCACAUCCGUAGUAUUUAGAGGUGGUGAUUUGGACACGAUAACCCUUCCUCAAUGUUUCCACUCCAGGCCAACCAGGCUGACCACAUGCUGACUUCAGCUUUGUAAGGAAUGCCUUCAAAUGAGAUUGAUAUUGACUCACUAAUGGGGGCAACCAUUUUUAAAAGUGGUCCGGUAUUGAGGGAGUACGCUACAAACGGCAGCCUCUAAAUGAGCUUGAAUGUAAUCAUAUCGGGCAAUUACACCCGUCUGCGUAUCUCCACUAGAAGUGAUCUCUAGAUUCUGCCUUUCACAUCCUCUCAAGCUUUGUUCUCAACCGUGACAACAAAUGCUCCACCUGCUGCUUCACAUUGACUUACAUGUAACAUGUGACUUUCUUACUUCAGUGGAACCUUUUGGCCACAGUGAACCCACUGGGUGUUGGAUGGCUCUGUCUCUGCCUCAGACCACUGUGACCUGGGUGCAGGUCUGGAGAGGACCUUUCUAGUUUCUUUUUCUUAUCUAGGAUGUGAUUUAAAUGUAGGCACUGCUCCUGUCUGGUGACCUCCUUUCUUACCAGUGCACGGCCAUUCUGGGUCAACAGUCCUCUCUGGCAACUGGGCUGAAACAAACUGAUCAAAUCAUCUCAAAACAAUUACAAAAUUGUAUCAUGCUGAACUGAAAAGAUCCAAUCAUAAAGAUAAUGUAAGUGAUAUUUGAACGGAAAGAAAGUGGCGGCAUAUAGAAAACUAAGGAAAACAGAAACAUUACAUGUCAUUCAGCUGACGCUGAAUGCAUUUCUAACUCGUCCCACACAGUGGGAGUAGUGUCGCAGCCGUCGGGGGCAGUUAGUGGUUGAGCAUCUUGCUCAGGGACACUUGGACAUGGGACAUGGAGCAGUCGGGGUUUGAACCAACCUUGCGGUUCACGGUGGACCCAGAAACCCCUCAGACAGAAUCUCACUUCUUACUCUACUGUGGGACAAAUGAGGACAUAAUAGAAGUUGUCCAUCUCCACGACACCCAGAAACAGCCGUAUUUAGGGGUGGAGAAAAAUCGAUGUCCAAUAUAAGUUGUGAAAUAUGUUUAGUGUAGUGAUACAUUCACAGGUGCUACAGGCGCUACAGAAAUGUCGCUGAUUGAUUACAUCUGUGAAAGAAUAAAAAGCCAAUUUGUUACCCAGUUGUUGGGUUCUUGUGUAAAAAAAUAUGUCAUUUAGCUUUGGCAAGAAAUAUAACAUCAUUGCCAACAACCCUUAUUUUAAUUUGAACUUUUACGAAUCAAUGAAAAGAUUAACAGGAAUUAUCUGUAGCGUUUGCUUCAAUGCCGAGAAAUUA
Molecule: long non-coding RNA, 27099 nt
Organism: Gasterosteus aculeatus aculeatus (three-spined stickleback)
Lineage: Eukaryota; Metazoa; Chordata; Actinopteri; Perciformes; Gasterosteidae
Source: Ensembl